UGUUAGCAGGAGGAGAGGGUGUGGGAAUUGGCAGGGUGCUGCUGAAUUCCAGUUUCAAGAGGUGGAUCCCUUUCCUGGGAUGGGCAGAGUGGAUUUCAUCCCUCCUGGCUGAAGCUCCCUAAAACCAAAAAUGAAAAGACCCUGCGAAUUUUACAUCCCAAUCCACUGAACCUGGGAGCAGCCCUUUUCAUUUUGUACCGUACAGGGCUCACUGCAUGCUGCCUUCUUGACAUCAGGGAAGAUGCUCCUGGAUCCACCAGGAAAAAAGUCCUGGCUUCACUCCAGUACUUCAGCAAAAUCCUGUUCCUUUUCUCUAGGCAUUGAUGGGAGCUUGCUGCUAUCUUAAAUGCAAGAUCAGCCCCAGUCCUGUCCUUCCUCUGUUCAUUAAAAUACAUUGAUUUAAACCUGUUGCUCUCUUUCUACAGCUCAGCUCUGCUAUGAUCCCACAUCCAACACCUGCAAGCCAAACAUAGCCUAGAUCAUCUCUGGAUAGGACUGGGGCAACUUUUGUACAGCUGUCAUUUUAAAGGAUAAUUACAAGCAUGACUUACAGGAUAAUAAGCAGAGAUAAAACUAAUUCCAGUAACCCAUCUCACUGUGGUGGAACCAGGGGAAAAACUCCUUUUCUGCGGUUUAUGGGAGGAAGGGAACAGUUGAGACUGAGCGCUGGUGCUGUCGUUGUCACUGAGGAGGUAACCAGAACGAGUCUGUCCAAAACCAGCAAAGUUUGGUAAAGCUUUUGAGCUAGAUUAAACUCAGGGAGAGGUUUAUCUGCUUGUGCAGCCUCCUGAAUCACCAGCUGGGGAUGCGCAGGGAGCGGCAAUUUUGGGUUGAGUAGACAGAGGAACGUCAAAGAGAGGUCUAACUGCCCCAAAUGACAAAGAACCUUUUGCUCCCCCAGUGCCUGAUGUCACCAUCUCAGCCAGGGCAUUCAGCAUCUUCCAGGAACCCAGGGCUGCAUCACAAAGGAACAACGGGAUAGAGGCACCAAACCCCUGCCUGGUUUUAUGCCUCAUAAACAAACUGCCUCGUAAAUAUGCCUUGUAAAUAAAAUAAAUAAAUACAGUAGUAGUGAUUUCCUUUGGUUUCAUCAGCUGAGAAGCUUACACCAAUGUGAGAUGCUGCCAAAAGUACUGGUCCUGUCCCUGCCCUUACUCCAGCCUUUCUCCCCAUCCUGGUUUUGGCUCAGCACUGUCAGUUUUUGGCUGGGCUCAUUCCAGCUUGCAGGUCGGUGGUGACAAGGGGAGGUAGAAAAGCUCUUCUGGAGCCCAAGCAUCCCCUUUUGAUACCACUCAUUUAUUUCUUCCUUAGCCCUCCUUAUGAAAUUUCCCACUGAGGACAUUUAUUUUCCCUCUCUCCUUUUUUUUUCAGCCACUUCAUUUAUUGCCAAUGAACUGAUUUGUUCAGGCUGAGAAGGGUCAGCAGAUAAUGGAAAUACAUGUUUAUGGGGAAAAGACAGUGCAAAUGCCAAGGAAAUAUGGCUGGGAGGCAGCUGGAAAGCCAAGGUGCAUCCAGCAACGUAGACAUGAUACACACAGGGACAUAGACAUGAUACACACAGGGAUCCCCAAGGACUGUGUGUGUGUAUGUAAUAUAAACAUCUAUUACUUAAAUGUUUCUAUAUAUUUAAUCUAUAUACAUUUAUAUUAUGGAUGUGCUAGAA
Molecule: non-coding RNA, 1663 nt
Organism: Cyanistes caeruleus (blue tit)
Lineage: Eukaryota; Metazoa; Chordata; Aves; Passeriformes; Paridae
Source: RefSeq, a predicted model, not a curated record